This is a non-coding RNA of Clonorchis sinensis, 53 nucleotides long. NCBI's taxonomy places the organism in Eukaryota, Metazoa, Platyhelminthes, Trematoda, Opisthorchiida, Opisthorchiidae. The record is from Rfam.
UUCUACCUGAUGAGCCCCAAAAAGGGCGAAACCGGUCGUGAGCUGUCGAAGAA